Molecule: ribosomal RNA, 496 nt
Filed under: uncultured bacterium
Lineage: Bacteria
Description: partial 16S ribosomal RNA
Rfam family: Bacterial small subunit ribosomal RNA
Source: RNAcentral
GAUGAACGCUGGCGGCGUGCCUAAUACAUGCAAGUCGAGCGAACAGACGAGGAGCUUGCUCCUCUGACGUUAGCGGCGGACGGGUGAGUAACACGUGAAUAACCUACCUAUAAGACUGGGAUAACUUCGGGAAACUGGAGCUAAUACCGGAUAAUAUAUUGAACCGCAUGGUUCAAUAGUGAAAGACGGUUUUGCUGUCACUUAUAGAUGGAUCCGCGCCGCAUUAGCUAGUUGGUAAGGUAACGGCUUACCAAGGCAACGAUGCGUAGCCGACCUGAGAGGGUGAUCGGCCACACUGGAACUGAGACACGGUCCAGACUCCUACGGGAGGCAGCAGUAGGGAAUCUUCCGCAAUGGGCGAAAGCCUGACGGAGCAACGCCGCGUGAGUGAUGAAGGUCUUCGGAUCGUAAAACUCUGUUAUUAGGGAAGAACAAAUGUGUAAGUAACUAUGCACGUCUUGACGGUACCUAAUCAGAAAGCCACGGCUAACUACGU